UACGUAGGGGGCAAGCGUUGUCCGGAAUCAUUGGGCGUAAAGAGCGUGUAGGCGGCCUGAUAAGUCGGCUGUGAAAGUCAGGGGCUCAACCCUUGGAAGCCGGCCGAUACUGUCGGACUAGAGUCCGGAAGAGGCGAGUGGAAUUCCCGGUGUAGCGGUGAAAUGCGCAGAUAUCGGGAGGAACACCAAUGGCGAAGGCAGCUCGCUGGGACGGUACUGACGCUGAGGCGCGAAAGCGUGGGGAGCAAACAGG
RNAcentral lists this ribosomal RNA (253 nucleotides) under uncultured bacterium. RNAcentral's name for it is "partial 16S ribosomal RNA". It matches the Rfam family "Bacterial small subunit ribosomal RNA", at positions 524 to 776 of the family's 1533-position model. The record is from RNAcentral.